This 76-nucleotide transfer RNA is filed under the name Gammaproteobacteria bacterium. Its description in RNAcentral is "tRNA-Phe". It matches the Rfam family "tRNA". From Rfam's summary of the family: Transfer RNA (tRNA) molecules are approximately 80 nucleotides in length. Lineage: Bacteria; Pseudomonadati; Pseudomonadota; Gammaproteobacteria. The record is from RNAcentral.
GCAUCGGUAGCUCAAUCGGCAGAGCGGCGGGUUGAAGGUCCGCGCGUUGGAGGUUCGAUUCCUUCCCGGUGCACCA